CCUACGGGAGGCAGCAGUGGGGAAUAUUGGACAAUGGGCGAAAGCCUGAUCCAGCCAUGCCGCGUGUGUGAAGAAGGCCUUCGGGUUGUAAAGCACUUUCAGUGGGGAAGAAAGCCUUGGGGCUAAUACCCUCGAGGAAGGACAUCACCCACAGAAGAAGCACCGGCUAACUCCGUGCCAGCAGCCGCGGUAAUACGGAGGGUGCGAGCGUUAAUCGGAAUUACUGGGCGUAAAGCGCGCGUAGGCGGUCUGAUAAGCCGGUUGUGAAAGCCCCGGGCUCAACCUGGGAACGGCAUCCGGAACUGUCAGGCUAGAGUGCAGGAGAGGAAGGUAGAAUUCCCGGUGUAGCGGUGAAAUGCGUAGAGAUCGGGAGGAAUACCAGUGGCGAAGGCGGCCUUCUGGACUGACACUGACGCUGAGGUGCGAAAGCGUGGGUAGCAAACGGGAUUAGAUACCCCAGUAGUC
Molecule: ribosomal RNA, 465 nt
Filed under: Vreelandella stevensii
Lineage: Bacteria; Pseudomonadati; Pseudomonadota; Gammaproteobacteria; Oceanospirillales; Halomonadaceae
Description: partial 16S ribosomal RNA
Rfam family: Bacterial small subunit ribosomal RNA
Source: RNAcentral